This 254-nucleotide ribosomal RNA is filed under the name uncultured bacterium. RNAcentral describes it as "partial 16S ribosomal RNA". It matches the Rfam family "Bacterial small subunit ribosomal RNA", at positions 524 to 777 of the family's 1533-position model. The record is from RNAcentral.
UACGAAGGGGGCUAGCGUUGCUCGGAAUCACUGGGCGUAAAGCGCACGUAGGCGGAUUGUUAAGUCAGGGGUGAAAUCCUGGAGCUCAACUCCAGAACUGCCUUUGAUACUGGAGAUCUUGAGUUCGGGAGAGGUGAGUGGAACUGCGAGUGUAGAGGUGAAAUUCGUAGAUAUUCGCAAGAACACCAGUGGCGAAGGCGGCUCACUGGCCCGAUACUGACGCUGAGGCACGAAAGCGUGGGGAGCAAACAGGG